RNAcentral lists this long non-coding RNA (592 nucleotides) under Equus asinus (donkey). Its description in RNAcentral is "lncRNA (ENSEASG00005028196.1)". The record is from RNAcentral. Lineage: Eukaryota; Metazoa; Chordata; Mammalia; Perissodactyla; Equidae.
GGCAAGCAGAGCAGGCACAGCAGGAGAAAGCCCUCAUGCAAAGAAAUGCAGGUGUGGGCACUGGAGUCCAGCCUGCUGGGCCCCGACUCUGGCAGGGCAGAGGAGGCAAACCGGGCACCCACAGCACCUGCGACCUCGGGUCCAGGCGCACAGUAAGAACACAGAGAGGCAUCGCGAGUCACGGCAGUGUUCCUAGAAAUGUCCACCCAGACCACCUACACGGCCUAUCGCCUGCUGGAGCUGGUUAUAAAUGACCUUCCCAGCUGUCCGCCCGAGGGAUUGUGUUUCAGUCGGCGUCGGGUCGGGGGCCAGGAAACUGUAUUGUAACAAGCUCACCCGUAAUUCUAUGUCCAGGGAUUCGGCCUCUCAACAGAACAGUGAGCCUGCUCUGCUGGGAUGCUCUGCGACUGAGGCUGUGAACCGCAGAACUCCCAGGGUGGGAAAUAUCUCACCUGGUUAGACAUCUUCGCCUCUGCCUGUACACAGCGUCACUUUCUGAAGGGGACUCUAUGAUUUUCCUUUGUAACACAUCUUUGUGUUUCAAGCUGCAAAAUUCAAUUCAGUUCAACAAAUGCGUACGGAGUGCCUGUUU